GCCCUCUUCGUAACCUAAAUAAAUCCUUCCCUUUCUUUCUCUAGUCGCUGCAAUUUCGUUAUUCUUGGGAUUUCCUUGCUCGACUGCCUCUUGCUGGUGCGAGGUCGCCCACCUCUUGCAGUUGCGAGGUCGCCGCAGUUGCGCUUGGCCGCGGUUGCGCUUGGCCGCAUCUCGAUGUGAAGGAUUUCAGAGCCUUUGUCGAGCGAUUCGAGAUAUAUCCCUCCCUUCUUUUUUUUUUUUGGCUUUGAGCUGUCUGUGUUUAUCAUUUAAAGCUUUGAGAUCGAGAGCUUUGUUGCUGCUGGAUACAGGAAUCCAAAUUGGAAGAGGACGCAUGAACCUGGUAGCCAGACAGCGGUAGUGGUGUCGUGGCUUCUAAAGAACGGGGCAACCUAUGUUGGGUGGACAAUCUUGGAUGAAUUUGCAUUUGGUGCUACAGGAGAAAACUUGCUGAUAUCAAUGUUUUGGCUGGGGAAUUAAUGUUUCUAUCAACACUGUAAUGUUCAUGCAAUGAUAUGGAGCUCUAGAGAUCUAUCAGGCCUUAGACACUGAUCUCAAGAUUGUCUCAACAAACUUGGUUGGUUCAUUAAUCCGUAUGAAGUAAUUCAUCUCAUUGUGACAAAAGGCGAAUACGCUCGCCCCCAGCGCCCCCGCUAACCCAUCCCAAGACCAACACGGAGGAGGUAAAUCACGGGCGGCUACUAGCCUUUGGAAUAGUGACUAUCACAUAAGGGAGACAUUUAUCUCGACUUUGCCGAGAUUCGAACCCCAGAUCUCAUUGUGGCAACACCUCAUGUGCUAGCCACUAGACCCAUCCGAGGGAAGUAAUUCAUCUCAUGGAGUUUGAGACAAAGGAGGGCAAAGGGAAGAAAUCAUAGACAUGCAUGCUACUAGUAAGAGGAUAGAUGAAGAAAUUAUUGAAAGUAAAGUAUUGAACUUCUUAUCACA
This is a long non-coding RNA of Zingiber officinale, 945 nucleotides long. RefSeq lists it as uncharacterized. Lineage: Eukaryota; Viridiplantae; Streptophyta; Magnoliopsida; Zingiberales; Zingiberaceae. The record is from RefSeq and is a predicted model, not a curated record. The transcript is spliced from 3 exons.